RNAcentral lists this ribosomal RNA (491 nucleotides) under uncultured bacterium. RNAcentral describes it as "bacterial SSU rRNA". It matches the Rfam family "Bacterial small subunit ribosomal RNA", at positions 28 to 515 of the family's 1533-position model. The record is from RNAcentral.
GAUGAACGCUAGCGGCAGGCCUAACACAUGCAAGUCGAGGGGUAACAGGAAAGCUUGCUUUUGCUGACGACCGGCGCACGGGUGCGUAACGCGUAUGCAACCUACCUCAUACAGGAGAAUAGCCCUUGGAAACGAGGAUUAAUACUCCAUGGUAUCAUUUUUUCGCAUGUUAAAAUGAUUAAAGAAUUUCGGUAUGAGAUGGGCAUGCGUCCCAUUAGCUAGUUGGUGAGGUAACGGCUCACCAAGGCGACGAUGGGUAGGGGGCCUGAGAGGGUGGUCCCCCACACUGGUACUGAGACACGGACCAGACUCCUACGGGAGGCAGCAGUGAGGAAUAUUGGUCAAUGGAGGCAACUCUGAACCAGCCAUGCCGCGUGAAGGAUGACGGCCCUAUGGGUUGUAAACUUCUUUUAUAUGGGAAGAAACUUAUCUACGUGUAGAUAACUGACGGUACCAUACGAAUAAGGAUCGGCUAACUCCGUGCCAAAAGG